This is a small nucleolar RNA of Eptesicus fuscus (big brown bat), 148 nucleotides long. RefSeq annotates it as small nucleolar RNA SNORA8. NCBI's taxonomy places the organism in Eukaryota, Metazoa, Chordata, Mammalia, Chiroptera, Vespertilionidae. The transcript has a single exon. The record is from RefSeq and is a predicted model, not a curated record.
GACAUCUGUAAUAAUCUCAACAAUAAAAAUUAAGAAAAAGAAUUUGGAGGGACAGUGUUCAAAGGACAGUGCUAUAUAAAUUCAGUAUCUGGCAUCAUUGGUUUUCGCAGCUUUCAUGCAUGUUAAACCUGUUUGUUUUUUAACUGAU